AUGCCGGCAGGAGGAUUCUCGGCGUCUUCGGCGCUGCCGUCCGGCAUGGAGUUUGAGCCCAAGAUCACGCCUACGGUGGUCACCUCCUGCGUCACGGCGGCCACCGGCGGGCUCAUGUUCGGCUACGACAUCGGCAUCUCUGGCGGGGUGACAUCCAUGGAGGAUUUCCAACGUGAGUUCUUCCCGACGGUGCUCCGCAAGAGCCGCGAGAACAAGGGGAGCAACUACUGCCGAUACGACAAUCAAGGCCUGCAGCUCUUUACCUCGUCCCUCUACCUCGCCGGCCUCGUCUCCACCCUCUUCGCGUCCUACACCACCCGCCGGCUCGGCCGCCGCGCCACUAUGCGCAUAGCCGGCGCCUUUUUCAUCGCCGGCGUCAUUUUCAAUGGCGCUGCGCGGAGCCUCGGUAUGCUCAUCGUCGGCAGGAUCCUGCUUGGCUGCGGUGUUGGCUUCGCCAACCAGAGAUCGCACCGAUUACAAUCCGCGGUGGCCUCCCUGUUCCAGAUAAACAUCACUGUCGGCAUUUUGUUCGCCAACCUCGUCAACUAUGGCACUAACAGGAUCCACCCUUGGGGAUGGCGUCUUUCUUUGUCCCUCGCGGGAUUCCCGGCUGUGUUGUUCACCCUAGGUGCAUUCUUCAUGGUCGAUACACCCAAUAGCCUCAUUGAGCGUAGUCGUCAAGAGGAGGGCAAAUUUGUGCUCAAGAAGAUCCGUGGCACCGACAACGUGGAGCCAGAGUUCAAUGAGAUCGUGGAGGCCAGUCGCAUCGCCCAUGACAUCAAGAACCCAUUUCGCAGCCUCCUACAACGCCGCAACCGUCCCCUUCUCAUGAUCACCAUCCUCCUCCAGAUGUUCCAGCAAUUGACCGGUAUAACCGCCAUCAUGUUCUACGCCCCGGUGCUGCUCACCACAUUGGGAUUUAAGACCGAGGCUUCACUCUACUCGGCAGUGAUCACGGGGGCAGUGAACGUAUUGUCAACGUUUGUAUCAAUGUACAUUGUAGACCGAGUGGGGAGACGGAUAUUGCUGCUAGAUGCCGGCGUGCAAAUGUUCCUCUCGUUAGUGCCAUGGCUGUGGUGA
Molecule: ribosomal RNA, 1080 nt
Filed under: Triticum aestivum (bread wheat)
Lineage: Eukaryota; Viridiplantae; Streptophyta; Magnoliopsida; Poales; Poaceae
Description: partial small subunit ribosomal RNA
Source: RNAcentral